GAUGAACGCUGGCGGCGUGCUUAACACAUGCAAGUCGAGCGAGGCUAGAGAGCUUGCUCUCGAAACCUAGCGGCGAACGGUCGCGUAACACGUAAGCAACCUGCCCCCCAAGACCGGGAUAGCCCGCCGAAAGGUGGAUUAAUACCGGAUGUGGACACGUGGAGGCAUCUCUGUUGUGUUUAAAUCAGGCAACUGGCUUGGGGAUGGGCUUGCGGCCUAUCAGCUAGUUGGUGUGGUAACGGCGCACCAAGGCGACGACGGGUAGCUGGUCUGAGAGGAUGGUCAGCCGGACUGGGACUGAGAUACGGCCCAGACUCCUACGGGAGGCAGCAGUUGGGAAUCUUAGGCAAUGGACGAAAGUCUGACCUAGCGACGCCGCGUGAGGGAAGAAGGCCUUCGGGUUGUAAACCUCUGUCAUGGGGGAAGAAGUAAGUGACGGUACCCAAGAGAAGCCCCUGCUAACUACGUGCCAGCAGCCGCGGUAAGAGUACUCUAU
This 496-nucleotide ribosomal RNA is filed under the name uncultured bacterium. RNAcentral describes it as "bacterial SSU rRNA". It matches the Rfam family "Bacterial small subunit ribosomal RNA", at positions 28 to 531 of the family's 1533-position model. The record is from RNAcentral.